This 200-nucleotide ribosomal RNA is filed under the name Enterobacter sp. UCD-UG_FMILLET. Its description in RNAcentral is "partial 23S ribosomal RNA". It matches the Rfam family "Bacterial large subunit ribosomal RNA", at positions 1 to 193 of the family's 2925-position model. The record is from RNAcentral. Lineage: Bacteria; Pseudomonadati; Pseudomonadota; Gammaproteobacteria; Enterobacterales; Enterobacteriaceae.
GGGUUGUGAGGUUAAGCGACUAAGCGUACACGGUGGAUGCCCUGGCAGUCAGAGGCGAUGAAGGACGUGCUAAUCUGCGAAAAGCGCCGGCGAGGUGAUAUGAACCUUUGACCCGGCGAUGUCCGAAUGGGGAAACCCAGUGCAAUUCGUUGCACUAUCGUUAACUGAAUACAUAGGUUAACGAGGCGAACCGGGGGAAC